AGAAAAUUUCUUUUCUUUACAAUUUGGUUCUUUUACCAAAAAAAUCACCAUUUUUACUUAGAAAUCAAAAGAAUUUCCAUAGCUGCCAAGAGAGUAAAAUAAUAAGGAGACUAUGGGGAGUUACAAUAUCAAGUUAGAUUCAAGAAAUAGAAGCUGGAUGAGAGAGAAAAUCAAGUUAAAGAUUGAAAUCAAUAGAAUAAGGUAAGAACAUCAAGAUUUUAAUAUAUUUUUAAGUUUGAUAUUAUUGAAAAAGCAUGAAAAUGAUUUUAAAGUAGAGUUUUAUUAUAUAAGGUUCUAUGUUCUUGAUAUGUUAGUGGAGGGAAAUAAGAGGAAGUGAUAGGAAAUAUUGUAGAGAAAGGAAAUGAGGGUGUUAUAAAGUUAGUUAUCAACAUUUUACACUAAAAAAGUUUUGGACAGUAGCAAUAGUCUGACUUUGAAAAUUUACCAAAAAUUGUAGAAAUUGAAUUAGAGGUUAAGUAAAGUAUUAAAUCAAACCCUGUUGAGUCUAGUUUUACAUACAAGAAACGUUGUAAGCAAAAAAAUUUCAUAUUAUGAGAUAUAUGAAUUUUUGUGAGACAAGGUCAGAUUGAUUUUGGGUUCCCCUAUUCUGACUUUAGAAAAUCAUAAAAAAUUUUAAAAAAAUAAUUAUAGGUUUAAAUUUAUAUGUUUAAAUUAUUAAUGAGUAUAUUUUCAAGAGAAACAAAUAGAAACAUCAUCCAAAUUUCGUACUUAGAGAUAAUUAAUUUUUAGUAAAGAAAGGUCGAAGCUGCUAAACAACGGAACAGAGAUAAAUUUGAAGAUUUUACUGUACUUAUUGGCUAAAUAUUAAAUUCUAAAAUUUUUAUGGUAAAAAUAUAUUUGAGUCUAGUUUCAAAAACAUCAAGCAGAUCUUAAUUUAGAAUUCUGUAGCUCAAGAUAUAAAUAAUUUAGUGACUAUGACUUAAGUGGACAACUUUGAUAUGAAUAUAAGUAAAUAGUGGAAUUAUAGAUAAUAUUACAUAUAAGCAUGUUAUAUACAUUAAGGAUGUGGAAUGGAGAGGAGGAGGAGGAAAAUAUAUGAAUAUUCAGCUAGCAUGGGUUUACAUUAAAAAUGGCUAAUUUGCAUGUUUUAGGCUCAGGGGCUAAAUUGAAUAAAAGUAAAAUUUUAAGGGUAAUUUUGCAAAAAUGUAAAAAAUGACCAAAUUGUAUGAAAUGAAUUAUUUUAUUGUCUAAAUUAAUAUAUAUUGAAAGAAAUUAUUAAUAUCAAGUGGGUUUAGAGCUUUAAUUUUGUUGUAUGAUGAUAUUAUAAAGUGAUUUUGUAAAUAUUAAUGUUAGUAUCAAGUUGUGAAAAUAGUUAAAAUAUUAGGGUUUGGUAUUAAAUUUCUAUUUUAUUAAGGGUUGUAUGAUAGCCUAGAAUAUUUGGAUAAAUUAUUAAUUGAGAAAAAUUAGUUGAGUUAAUAGAUUUACUAGUUAAGAGACUAAAUUGUAAAAGUUGAAAAAGUUGGGGUAAUUGUGUAAAUUUGAAAAGUUGAAGGGUAUAAAAUGUGAAAUAAAUUGAAACUGAAAUAUAUGCUAAUGAAUGAGUAAUUUUAUAUUUUAGAUUAAGAUUCCGUAGUUACUUGUAAAAAAAGGAAAAAUAAUGGAAUAGUCCUUGAACUCCUGCAAUUAUUACAAUUCAAUUCAGGUAAGUUCAUAUGUUUAAACUUUCAUGAUUAUGUGUUAAUUUAGGAAUGGUAUAAUAGAUUAUUCCUAUUUUGUUGUUGAAAUUAAGAUUAUUGUAAAAGUAUAAAAAUUGAAUUGAAUGUUUAAAAUGAGUAGAACGCAGGAUUAAGUAUGAGCGUUCCGUCGCAAAGAAUGAAUUGACGAAUAAGACCAUGGUUAGACCAUGGAAAUGUUUAAAUGUAAGACCAUGGUUGAGCUGUGGCAUUUUAAUGAAAAGACCAUAACUGGGUUAUGACACUAUGAACGUAAGACCAUGGUUGGACCAUGAGAGUGUUUAUAUGUAAGACCAUAGCUGGGCUAUGACAUUCUGAUGAUAAGACCAUAAUUGGGCUAUGGCACUAUGAACGUAAGACCAUGGUAGUUUUUAUAUGUAAGACCAUAGCUAGGCUAUAUCAUUCUGAUGAUAAGACCAUAAUUGGGUUAUGGCACUACGAAUGUAAAGGAUGAAUUGACGGAAAAUGUAAAGGAUGAUAUAUGAAGAAACAGUAAAAGAUGAUAUGUUGUAACACCCCUAACCCGUCUCCGUCGCCGAAUCAGGGUUACGAGGCAUUACGAAACCAAGCUCACAUAAACAUAACUUUAAUAUCUAAUUCCAAAUGCAAGUCCAAUUCAUGAACAUAUAUAAUCAAAUUCAAGCAUGGAAACUAAACUCUUUUCACAUUGCUAUUUACACAAUAGGAUUCAAAACUAACCAAAACAUUAUCAAGCCUAUACAUGCCAUAAGAUCGAGUUCAAAUAUUUAACAAAAUACCAAAAGAAGUUGAUAGUGUGAUGGACUGUGCUGAUGAUCCCCGAGCUCGUAACGCGUCUCCAAAUCUAUAAAAACGAAUGAACGAAAGCAAACGAAGUAAGCUUUUAUAGCUUAGUAAGUCUCCAGCAUAACUAAAUGUAUAAUUAUAAACACAUAAUUAUUAUAACCUUUUAAUCUAUUCUACUGAAAUUUUAACUAACACAACCAACUAACAUUCAUACAUUAUUCUACUCAGACCAUUUCAUUUAUAGUCAGAUAUGUAUACCUGUCGGAUGAAUUCAGUUUAAUAUAUAUAUUAUACAAAACAACAUUACAAUUGAAUGUAUACCACCGAGCAUAUAUAUACAUAUUAUAUACAUAUCAAACCGAUUGUAUAUGUACACUCAUGGUAAGUUCUAAAUCAAUUCAAAUCUAACACAAAUAUAUAUACAUCAAUCACAUCUUAUAUUUGUUUGUAUAUAAAUAUACUCAUUAUGAAUUUAUACCUGAAUACCUAGGUAACACAUACAUUCGAAAUAUACACAUAUAUAUAUAUAUCUCAAAUGCAUACAUGAUUAAUUAUCAAACACAUAGGCUCAACAUAUAUAUGUUUAACUACCACAUAUCACCAUAUGCAUUUAUAAAUUCAGCAAUCACAUAUAUCUAAUGUACAUAUGUAUUCAUCGAUUUCAUAAAAUCACAAAUCAUAGAUAUAUCCAUUGCAUAUUCUAACACAAUUUAAACAGAUUCACCGGCAUUUUGCCUGCUAGGCUUAAAGCCUGAUUCAGUACACCGGCACUUAGCCUGCUAGACAUAUAGUCUGAAAUGUAUCACCGGCAUUAAGCCUACUAGACAUAUAGUCUGAAAUGUAUCACCGGCAUUAAGCCUGCUAGACUUAAAGUCUGAAAUGUAUCACCGGCAUUAAGCCUGCUAGACUUAAAGUCUGAAAUGUAUCACCGGCAUUAAGCCUGCUAGACUUAAAGUCUGAAUUACUUCACCGGCAUUAAGCCUGCUAGACUUAACGUCUGUAUUACAUUCAAUCACUUUAUAAUAAUUCAAACUAACAAUUUCAUAUCUUCACUACUAUUCAAAAACUUUUACGUGAAUAUACAUACAAAAUCGAAACUUUCACAUACAUAUAUAAUUCCAUACCAAAUUUCGAUUCAAGAAUUUAUACAUGUGCAUUUAUACAUAUUCGAAUCUACCAUAUGAAUGUAUAAUUUCAUACUCAAUUUCAAAACAAAAACUUGUACAUAUAUAAAUGCACAAUCAAUCCUCGCAUACUUAUAUAAUGACAUAACUAAAUUCAAUACACAACACAUACAUGUAUACUUGCAUGCUUAUUCGACUUUAUAUAUAUAUACAUACUUAUAUAAUCAUUCAAACCAUAUAUAUAUAUAUAUACCUAUAUCUUAUACAUACCUUUGAUUAAUCCAAUAAUUUAUACAAGAUCAUACUUGUAUAUUCGAACAUGUUAUAUACAAUAUCUAUAGUCCAAAGUUUAUUCAACUAUUAUACUUUAAAUUAUAGCUCAAUCAUAAGAUAAAAUUAGUAUGCAUGUAUAAAUAUUAACUUAAUAACUUUUAGUUGCUAAUAGACUUACCUCGGAUAUCAGCAAACACGAUCGACUAUUCGAUUUCCUUCGACUUCCCCCGAUCCAAAUUCGUUUUCUUCGUUCCUUGAUCUAAACAUAGUCAAAUUUAACCUUUUUAUUCAUCAAAACAUUCAUUUGAGUCCAACAAUACAUAAAUGGGAAAAUUACCAUUUUGCCCCUAACAUUUUGCACUUUUUGCAAUUUAGUCCUUUUUGCACAAAACACAAAAUACACAAAAUUUGCCCUUAACACACAAGGGCCGAAUAUUCAUGGUUCUCAUACAAGUCCACACAUUGCAUUUAUUUCACAUUUUAGUCCCUCAAAAAUUUAUUUUCACAAUUUAGCCCUAAAUACUCAAAUUCAUCAAAAAUCCCAAGACAAAACAUGUUAAUCUAAGACAUAUCUUCCAUUAUUCAUCAUCAAACAUCACAAAACACAAAUAUUCAUCAAUGGCAUAACUCAAAAUAUUCAUUAAAAUUAGAAAUUCAAGCAUGGGUCGGGUAGUAUUCAAAGCAACGAUCUCAAAAACGUAAAAAUUAUCAAAAACCGAAACCAAAGCAUACCUUAAUUUUGCUAUGAAAGUGCCGAAACUUAAGAAACCAUGGAUGGUUUCUUCCUUUCCAAUAUUCGGCUAACAAAGAUGAACAUAUUCAUCUUUUUAUGACUUAUUUUAGUUAUAAUAUUAUAAUUUACUUAAUGACUAAAUUAACCUUAAUUAAAUAAAUUAUAAAUUACAUAACUUAAGGGCAAUGUUGGCAUAUACCACCCACUAACUAAAUCUUGGUCUAAUUACAUCUUUAGACCUCCCACUUAAAAAGACAACUACAAAUAGGUGCUUUUAAAUUUUAACCUUUAACUUUUAUUUUACGCGAUUAAACCCUUUUAUUAAAUCGGACACUUAAACGACAAAAUUAAAACACGAAAAUUUUACACAAUCAAAUGCACACGAAAUAAACACACAAAAUAAUAUUAAUAAUAUUUUUCUAAUUCAGAUUUGUGGUCCCGAAACCACUAUUCUGAUUAGGGUCAAAACCGGGUUGUUACAACUCUCCCCCCCUUAGGGAUUUUCGUCCCCGAAAAUCUUACCGGUGAAUAGGUUUGGAUAACGCUCCUUCAUUGUAUCCUCUGACUCCCAAGUUGCUUCUUCAACUCCGUGUUUAUGCCACAAUACUUUAACUAACGGAAUUUUCUUAUUUCGUAAUUCCUUGAUCUCACGAGCCAGAAUGCUAAUCGGUUCUUCUUCAUAUGACAUAUCAGGGUUAAUUUCAAUCUCCGUCGGACAAAUCACAUGUGAAGGAUCAGAUCGGUAUCUACGGAGCAUCGAAACAUGAAAUACAUUGUGAAUCUUUUCUAACUCAGGUGGUAACAUCAAUCUAUAAGCAACCGGUCCGACACGUUCUAUAAUAUCAUACGGUCCAAUGAAUCUUGGACUCAAUUUUCCUUUACGACCGAAUCUGAGUACUUUCUUCCACGGUGAGACUUUCAAAAACACUUUAUCACCGAUCUGAAAUUCUAUAUCUUUUCUUCUCAAAUCCGCAUAAGAUUUCUGACGAUCUGAUGCUGAUUUCAGGCUGUCUCGAAUCACUUUCACUUUCUGUUCGGUCUCUUUAAUCAAAUCAACCCCGUGUAUCCUAUUUUCACUGAGCUCAGUCCAAUACAGUGGUGUACGACAUUUACGACCGUACAAAGCCUCAUAAGGUGCCAUUUUAAUACUAGAUUGAAAGCUGUUAUUAUAAGCAAAUUCAAUCAAAGGUAAAUAUCGUUCCCACGUACCUUCAAACUCGAGAAUGCAACAUCUCAACAUGUCCUCAAGUAUCUGUAUAAUUCGCUCCGAUUGACCAUCUGUUUGCGGAUGGAAAGCUGUGCUAAAAUGUAGUUUCGUACCUAAUGCAUCUUGUAAUUUCUUCCAAAACCGCGAUGUAAAUCUCGGGUCUCUGUCCGAAAUAAUAGAAAUAGGCACUCCGUGCAAUUUUACAAUCUGAGAAAUGUACAAUUCAGCAAGUUUAUCAAGCGAAUAAUCAAUACGAACCGGAAUAAAGUGAGCCGAUUUUGUCAAUCUAUCAACAACAACCCAAAUUGCAUCUUUCUUGCUGGGUGUUAACGGUAAACCGGAUACAAAAUCCAUCGUAACUCUGUCCCAUUUCCAUUCAGGUAUCAUGAUCGGCUGCAGCAAUCCAGAAGGUACCUGAUGCUCGGCUUUUACUUGCUGACAUAUUAAACAUUUCGAAACAAAGUCAGAAAUGUCUCGUUUCAUUCCAUGCCACCAAUAGUGUUGUUUCAGAUCAUUAUACAUUUUCGUGCUACCCGGAUGAAUAGAAAAUCGACUAUUAUGGGCUUCAUUCAAAAUCAUCUGAAUUAACUCUGGAUUUUUCGGAACACAUAAUCGGUUUCUGAAUCUCAAACAAUCCUCAGUAUCAACUAGAAACUCUGAAUCAACAUUUAAGUCACACUGAGUUCGUUUUGCAAUUAAAUCAUCAUCGGCUUUUUGAGCUUCACAAAUCUGUUGAACAAAUAACGGUUUUGCUUUCAACUCAGCUACUAUCGCACCAUCAUCAGACAUAACCAUAUGUGCAUUCAUUGCACGCAAAGCAAACAGUGAUUUUCGACUUAGGGCAUCAGCAACAACAUUAGCCUUUCCCGGAUGAUAGUCAAUCACGAGCUCGUAAUCUUUCAACAAUUCUAACCAUCGACGCUGUCUCAAAUUCAGAUCUUUCUGAGUCAUCAAAUAUUUCAAGCUUUUAUGAUCGGAAUAAACAUGACAUCUUUCGCCAAACAGAUAGUGACGCCAUAUUUUUAACGCAAAUACAAUAGCGGCCAAUUCCAGAUCAUGCGUCGGAUAGUUCUUUUCAUGCGGCUUUAACUGUCUCGAGGCAUAGGCUACAACUUUGCCUUCCUGCAUCAAUACACAGCCCAAACCAUUUAAAGAUGCAUCACUAUAGAUAACAAACUCUUUACCCGAUUCGGGUUGAACUAGGACUGGAGCUUUGGUUAAAAGAGCUUUCAACUGAUCGAAACUUUUCUGGCACUUUUCUGACCAUUCAAACUUAACGUCUUUUUGUAGUAACCUUGUCAUCGGGGUCGCAAUCAUAGAGAACCCUUUCACAAAACGUCUAUAAUAGCCAGCGAGCCCCAGAAAGCUUCGAACUUCCGAAACAUUCCUCGGAGGUUUCCAAUCAAGUAUAACUGAAAUUUUACUCGGAUCAACCCAAAUACCCGAUGCUGAUACAACAUGGCCCAGAAAACUGACUUCACGUAACCAGAACUCACAUUUACUAAACUUUGCAUACAACUGCUUAUCUCGCAAAGUUUGUAACACAAGUCUCAGAUGUUCAGCAUGCUCAUUUUCGUCUCGAGAGUAGAUCAAAAUGUCAUCAAUAAAUACUACCACAAACCGAUCCAGAUACUUCCUAAAGAUCCGAUUCAUCAAGUCCAUGAAAAUAGCAGGUGCAUUAGUAAGUCCGAAAGGCAUAACAAGAAACUCAUAAUGUCCGUACCUCGUUCGGAAAGCAGUCUUUGGCACAUCAGAGUCUUUAACUCGCAACUGAUAGUAGCCUGAUCUCAGAUCUAUCUUUGAAAACACAGUAGCCCCUUUCAACUGAUCGAACAAAUCAUCAAUCCGUGGUAACGGAUACUUAUUCUUUAUAGUCACUUUAUUGAGUUGCCGGUAAUCAAUGCACAUUCUCAUCGUUCCGUCUUUCUUUCUCACAAAUAGAACUGGUGCACCCCAAGGAGAGAAACUCGGUCGUGCAAAACCUUUAUCAGUCAGCUCUUGCAACUGUACUUUCAAUUCUUUUAAUUCGGUCGGUGCCAUACGGUACGGAGCUAUCGAUAUGGGAGUCGUCCCUGGUACUAACUCAAUACCAAACUCUACCUCUCGAAUAGGUGGCAAACCCGGUAAUUCUUCGGGAAACACGUCUGAAUACUCACACACUACUGGUACAGAUUCAAUCUUCUUUUCGGUCACUUUACUAUCAAGAACAAAUGCAAGGUAAGCUUCACAACCCCUUCUCACAUACUUCUGAGCCGACAUCGAGGAUAUUAUUGCUGAUAAACCAUUCAGAUCAUUAGAUUCGAUCCGAAUAAUCUCAUCAUUCUGACACCGUAGAUCAAUAGUUUUCCGUUUGCAGUUUACAAUAGCAUCAUGUAGAGUUAACCAAUCCAUACCCAGAAUUAUAUCGAACUCGUCGAAUGGUAACAACAUCAAAUCAGCUGGAAAACAUAAAUCUCGAAUCAUCAACGGACAAUUCUUGCACACUUUGUCAACCAAAACACACCGGCCCAGGGGGUUCGAUACUUUAAUUACAAACUCAGUAGACUCAACAGGCAAAGUCUUACUGAAUACUAAAGUCUCACACACAUAAGAAUGAGUCGAACCAGGAUCAAUCAAUGCAAUAACAUUAGUAUCAUAAAGAGUGAAAGUACCAGUAAUAACAUCUGGAGAAGAAGCCUCCUCUCGAGCACGGAUGGCAUAAGCUCUGGCAGGUGCACGGGCCUUAGAUCGAAUUGCUGUGUCCCUGGUUCCUCUCUGACUACCACUUACAUUACUCAAUUGUCUCGGCGGUCUACCUCGGACUGGCACAUUACUCGGUCUGGUAUCCUGCACAGUGUUUUGCUCAGCUACCAUCGGACACUCUCGAAUGAAAUGAUCUUUUGAACCACACUUGAAGCAAGACCGAUCAUGGAAUCUGCAAUCCCCAGGAUGCCAUUUCCCACAAUGCUUACACUCUGAUCUAUUUUGUCGAACACUACCAACGCUAGCAACUGAAGUAGCUCGUGAACUCACAGGGGGUCGAUCUCGAUCAUACUUAGGAAACCCUGCAGUAGCUUUAGAUUGGCUAUGAUCCGCUCUGAAUUUCCUUGAGGUCGACUGAAAUGAUUUACUGAAUGAUCUUUUACGAGAAUCUCGAGCUUCAUAGUCAGCUUUCCUCUUCUCUUUCCCGAGCUCCUCAGCUUUACAAGCUCGUUCCACAAGUACUACAAACUCUUUUAUCUCAAGUAUACCAACUAACAGUUUAAUAUCUUCGUUCAGCCCAUCUUCAAAUCUUCUACACAUGAUAGCUUCAGUUGAAACACACUCUCGAGCAUAUCUACUAAGUCUCACAAAUUUCCGUUCAUAUUCUGUCACUGUCAUACGACCCUGUUUCAGUUCAAGAAAUUCCUUACGUUUCUGAUCAAUAAAUCUCUGGCUGAUGUAUUUCUUACGAAACUCAGUCUGAAAGAAUUCCCAGGUCACUCGCUCUUUCGGAACCACCGAUGCUAGUGUAUUCCACCAGUGAUAUGCAGUGUCCCGUAGCAAGGAUAUGGCACAUUUCAAGCACUCAUCAGGGGUGCAAGACAACUCAUCAAACACUCGAAUAGUAUUAUCAAGCCAGAAUUCAGCUCGCUCAGCAUCAUCAUCAUCAGUAGCUCUGAACUCUUCGGCCCCGUGUUUUCGAAUUUUGUCAACCGGAGGCUUAAGUAAUCUCAUUGGAUCACUUACUUGGGGUAUAACAGGAAUCGAAGAUGGAUUAGUCGGGGGUGGAGGUUGUUGUGUAACCGGAUUAGUUCGGACAUAAUGAGUAAACCAGUCAUUCAUCAUUUGGUAGAAGGCUUGUUUAGCCUCUCCCUCCUGGUUACUCGAGGUCGGUCGAGAAUCUACCGGCUCUGUCCCUUGUGCGGGAGCAGGCGCUAUACUCUCAACAUCAUCGGCUACGGCUCGAUCGGGAUCCAUUACUAUACGAAAACACAUUUUUAGACAUCAGCAGUCAUCACACUAUCUCGAUAUAAAAAUUAUGGCAUGUAUAGCUAGACUCAUACAUGCUACGUUAGUCCAAGAAUCGACUAAACCGUAGCUCUGAUACCAAUAAAAUGUAACACCCCUAACCCGUCUCCGUCGCCGAAUCAGGGUUACGAGGCAUUACGAAACCAAGCUCACAUAAACAUAACUUUAAUAUCUAAUUCCAAAUGCAAGUCCAAUUCAUGAACAUAUAUAAUCAAAUUCAAGCAUGGAAACUAAACUCUUUUCACAUUGCUAUUUACACAAUAGGAUUCAAAACUAACCAAAACAUUAUCAAGCCUAUACAUGCCAUAAGAUCGAGUUCAAAUAUUUAACAAAAUACCAAAAGAAGUUGAUAGUGUGAUGGACUGUGCUGAUGAUCCCCGAGCUCGUAACGCGUCUCCAAAUCUAUAAAAACGAAUGAACGAAAGCAAACGAAGUAAGCUUUUAUAGCUUAGUAAGUCUCCAGCAUAACUAAAUGUAUAAUUAUAAACACAUAAUUAUUAUAACCUUUUUAAUCUAUUCUACUGAAAUUUUAACUAACACAACCAACUAACAUUCAUACAUUAUUCUACUCAGACCAUUUCAUUUAUAGUCAGAUAUGUAUACCUGUCGGAUGAAUUCAGUUUAAUAUAUAUAUUAUACAAAACAACAUUACAAUUGAAUGUAUACCACCGAGCAUAUAUAUACAUAUUAUAUACAUAUCAAACCGAUUGUAUAUGUACACUCAUGGUAAGUUCUAAAUCAAUUCAAAUCUAACACAAAUAUAUAUACAUCAAUCACAUCUUAUAUUUGUUUGUAUAUAAAUAUACUCAUUAUGAAUUUAUACCUGAAUACCUAGGUAACACAUACAUUCGAAAUAUACACAUAUAUAUAUAUCUCAAAUGCAUACAUGAUUAAUUAUCAAACACAUAGGCUCAACAUAUAUAUGUUUAACUACCACAUAUCACCAUAUGCAUUUAUAAAUUCAGCAAUCACAUAUAUCUAAUGUACAUAUGUAUUCAUCGAUUUCAUAAAAUCACAAAUCAUAGAUAUAUCCAUUGCAUAUUCUAACACAAUUUAAACAGAUUCACCGGCAUUUUGCCUGCUAGGCUUAAAGCCUGAUUCAGUACACCGGCACUUAGCCUGUUAGACAUAUAGUCUGAAAUGUAUCACCGGCAUUAAGCCUGCUAGACUUAAAGUCUGAAAUGUAUCACCGGCAUUAAGCCUGCUAGACUUAAAGUCUGAAUUACUUCACCGGCAUUAAGCCUGCUAGACUUAACGUCUGUAUUACAUUCAAUCACUUUAUAAUAAUUCAAACUAACAAUUUCAUAUCUUCACUACUAUUCAAAAACUUUUACGUGAAUAUACAUACAAAAUCGAAACUUUCACAUACAUAUAUAAUUCCAUACCAAAUUUCGAUUCAAGAAUUUAUACAUGUGCAUUUAUACAUAUUCGAAUCUACCAUAUGAAUGUAUAAUUUCAUACUCAAUUUCAAAACAAAAACUUGUACAUAUAUAAAUGCACAAUCAAUCCUCGCAUACUUAUAUAAUGACAUAACUAAAUUCAAUACACAACACAUACAUGUAUACUUGCAUGCUUAUUCGACUUUAUAUAUAUAUACAUACUUAUAUAAUCAUUCAAACCAUAUAUAUAUAUAUAUACCUAUAUCUUAUACAUACCUUUGAUUAAUCCAAUAAUUUAUACAAGAUCAUACUUGUAUAUUCGAACAUGUUAUAUACAAUAUCUAUAGUCCAAAGUUUAUUCAACUAUUAUACUUUAAAUUAUAGCUCAAUCAUAAGAUAAAAUUAGUAUGCAUGUAUAAAUAUUAACUUAAUAACUUUUAGUUGCUAAUAGACUUACCUCGGAUAUCAGCAAACACGAUCGACUAUUCGAUUUCCUUCGACUUCCCCCGAUCCAAAUUCGUUUUCUUCGUUCCUUGAUCUAAACAUAGUCAAAUUUAACCUUUUUAUUCAUCAAAACAUUCAUUUGAGUCCAACAAUACAUAAAUGGGAAAAUUACCAUUUUGCCCCUAACAUUUUGCACUUUUUGCAAUUUAGUCCUUUUUGCACAAAACACAAAAUACACAAAAUUUGCCCUUAACACACAAGGGCCGAAUAUUCAUGGUUCUCAUACAAGUCCACACAUUGCAUUUAUUUCACAUUUUAGUCCCUCAAAAAUUUAUUUUCACAAUUUAGCCCUAAAUACUCAAAUUCAUCAAAAAUCCCAAGACAAAACAUGUUAAUCUAAGACAUAUCUUCCAUUAUUCAUCAUCAAACAUCACAAAACACAAAUAUUCAUCAAUGGCAUAACUCAAAAUAUUCAUUAAAAUUAGAAAUUCAAGCAUGGGUCGGGUAGUAUUCAAAGCAACGAUCUCAAAAACGUAAAAAUUAUCAAAAACCGAAACCAAAGCAUACCUUAAUUUUGCUAUGAAAGUGCCGAAACUUAAGAAACCAUGGAUGGUUUCUUCCUUUCCAAUAUUCGACUAACAAAGAUGAACAUAUUCAUCUUUUUAUGACUUAUUUUAGUUAUAAUAUUAUAAUUUACUUAAUGACUAAAUUAACCUUAAUUAAAUAAAUUAUAAAUUACAUAACUUAAGGGCAAUGUUGGCAUAUACCACCCACUAACUAAAUCUUGGUCUAAUUACAUCUUUAGACCUCCCACUUAAAAAGACAACUACAAAUAGGUGCUUUUAAAUUUUAACCUUUAACUUUUAUUUUACGCGAUUAAACCCUUUUAUUAAAUCGGACACUUAAACGACAAAAUUAAAACACGAAAAUUUUACACAAUCAAAUGCACACGAAAUAAACACACAAAAUAAUAUUAAUAAUAUUUUUCUAAUUCAGAUUUGUGGUCCCAAAACCAGUAUUCUGAUUAGGGUCAAAACCGGGUUGUUACAUAUGUAUCAUGAAAUGUGUAUAUAUAUAUUAAUAUAUUGAUAUGUGAUACAUGAAAAUUAUGUAAGUUGAGACGAGUAUAAAUUCAAGUGUGACAUGUUGAGAUAAUAAGUUUAUCAAUGUUGAAUUUAUAUGAAAUAUGUUAAAGUAUGCUAACAAAUGUUGUUGUUGAUACUUAGACAAGUUCCAAGCUACUGGUUAAAUGGUAAUAUGUUUAUUUAUAUGAUGCGUUAAAACGGAAGUG
This 12900-nucleotide long non-coding RNA is filed under the name Gossypium barbadense (sea-island cotton). Its description in RNAcentral is "long non-coding RNA (GBAR_LNC014502)". The record is from RNAcentral. Lineage: Eukaryota; Viridiplantae; Streptophyta; Magnoliopsida; Malvales; Malvaceae.